Molecule: transfer RNA, 87 nt
Filed under: Pseudomonadota bacterium
Lineage: Bacteria; Pseudomonadati; Pseudomonadota
Description: Proteobacteria bacterium (gut metagenome) tRNA-Ser
Rfam family: tRNA
About the family: Transfer RNA (tRNA) molecules are approximately 80 nucleotides in length. Their secondary structure includes four short double-helical elements and three loops (D, anti-codon, and T loops). Further hydrogen bonds mediate the characteristic L-shaped molecular structure. tRNAs have two regions of fundamental functional importance: the anti-codon, which is responsible for specific mRNA codon recognition, and the 3' end, to which the tRNAs corresponding amino acid is attached (by aminoacyl-tRNA synthetases). tRNAs cope with the degeneracy of the genetic code in two manners: having more than one tRNA (with a specific anti-codon) for a particular amino acid; and 'wobble' base-pairing, i.e. permitting non-standard base-pairing at the 3rd anti-codon position.
Source: RNAcentral
GGAGGUGUGGCUGAGCGGUCGAUAGCGGCGGUCUUGAAAACCGUUGAACCUUUGCGGGUUCCGGGGGUUCGAAUCCCUCCGCCUCCG